UAGUCCACGCCGUAAACGAUGGAUACUAGGUGUCCGGGAAGUUAACCUCCUGGGUACUACAGCUAACGCGUUAAGUAUCCCGCCUGGGGAGUACGGUCGCAAGGCUAAAACUCAAAGGAAUUGACGGGGGCCCGCACAAGCGGUGGAGUAUGUGGUUUAAUUCGAAGCAACGCGCAGAACCUUACCUACCCUUAACAUUUCACGCUCGCCUCAGAGAUGAGGUUUUCUCUUCGGAGACGUGAGGAUAGGUGCUGCAUGGCUGUCGUCAGCUCGUGUCGUAAGAUGUCUGGUUAAGUCCAAUAACGAGCGCAACCCUCGUCCUUAGUUGCCAGCAUUUAGUUGGGCACUCUAAGGAAACUGCCGGUGAUAAGCCGGAGGAAGGUGGGGAUGACGUCAAGUCCUCAUGGCCCUUACGCGCUGGGCUACACACGUGCUACAAUGGCGGUGACAGUGGGCAGCAAACUCGCAAGAGCAAGCUAAUCUCUAAAAACCGUCUCAGUUCGGAUUGUUCUCUGCAA
RNAcentral lists this ribosomal RNA (518 nucleotides) under uncultured bacterium. Its description in RNAcentral is "bacterial SSU rRNA". It matches the Rfam family "Bacterial small subunit ribosomal RNA", at positions 791 to 1310 of the family's 1533-position model. The record is from RNAcentral.